This 24-nucleotide non-coding RNA is filed under the name Arabidopsis thaliana (thale cress). The record is from RNAcentral. Lineage: Eukaryota; Viridiplantae; Streptophyta; Magnoliopsida; Brassicales; Brassicaceae.
AAAUCGGUUUAAUCGGGUCGGGUU